GCAAACAAUAUGCUCUGUAAAGAACAAGCGGUUGUGAAGUGGAUGCUAUACAUAGAGACUGUGUAGGAUUUGAUAUUUUAAUCAAAAUUGAUAUACGGAAAACAGAAAACCGUCCAUGUGGAUAGGGAGUGGAAAUUAUGCAGAACUCGACAAAUGGUGUAUGAGCGCCAAAAAAGAAGAGGAAGAGAGUUCACCGAACGACCUUAAAUGACUCCACAUCAGUCAGGAUGCAGUGUUUGUGCACAUGCUGUGUCUCACCCAGCUCGAUCGUUCACAUGUGUGGAGAUGAAAGGCGAGGCAGAGAAACGCUUUCAUAUGCCAAAGGAAGCAUUUCAUUGCACGCUGUGCAAAAACAACAAGACUACAUUUGUGUGUGUGCGCAUCACACUUCAUUAUUUGAGCCACCCAGACAGAAAAAGAGCCAGUCAAGAAGGACAAGGUUGCAUCACCAUCCACAGGCUAAAUAUAUAUAUCAUACGGGUCAUUCCCAGUUACAAAAGUUCAAAAGUUUGGAUCAGUACGGUUUUGUUUGU
This is a long non-coding RNA of Carassius carassius (crucian carp), 533 nucleotides long. RefSeq lists it as uncharacterized. The record is from RefSeq and is a predicted model, not a curated record. Lineage: Eukaryota; Metazoa; Chordata; Actinopteri; Cypriniformes; Cyprinidae. The transcript has 3 exons.